Long non-coding RNA from Salvia splendens (bonfire salvia), 480 nucleotides. RefSeq lists it as uncharacterized. The transcript is spliced from 4 exons. Lineage: Eukaryota; Viridiplantae; Streptophyta; Magnoliopsida; Lamiales; Lamiaceae. The record is from RefSeq and is a predicted model, not a curated record.
UAAAGAUGUAUUCGGCACUGCAACAGGAUUGGCUGCACCUGCACUUGAUCCCUUGGCUGUCUCCACAGCAUAUAUGAAAGGAAAAACUAAUGCAUGGGUCUCAAGUUUUCUGCAGAUGUGAAGGUAGCAGUGAAAAACAAAGUUCCUCUUGUAAGGUCAUUGACUUGAGCUGUGUUACAUUCUGUAUUGAAACAAGUAACACAGCGACCAUACCUAAGGUUCACGGGGAAUAUAUUCCCUCAUUUAUUUUGGAGUGGUCUAGGCAACUGGUAUGCUGUUUUAUCUUAUGAUGCAUCUGUGCGUCUAUGCCUCCACUCAUGGGCAAGGAGCUGUAUGGGAGCUCCUCCCUUUUUGGAAAAUGAAUGUUCACUGCUGAGGGAUGUAUUAGGGUUAAGAAAUAUAUUAUUAAAAUCAGAGGAAGAGCUGGAAACAUCUUUAAAGUCUUCAUCCACGGUUAAGCUGGAAACAUUUCAGUAAAGG